CACGGUCCAAACUCCUCCGGGAGGCAGCAGUGGGGAAUAUUGCACAAUGGGCGAAAGCCUGAUGCAGCAACGCCGCGUGAGUGCUGAAGGCCUUCGGGUCGUAAAACUCUGUCCUCAAGGACGAUAAUGACGGUACUUGAGGAGGAAGCCCCGGCUAACUACGUGCCAGCAGCCGCGGUAAUACGUAGGGGGCUAGCGUUAUCC
This 204-nucleotide ribosomal RNA is filed under the name Clostridioides difficile. Its description in RNAcentral is "partial 16S ribosomal RNA". It matches the Rfam family "Bacterial small subunit ribosomal RNA", at positions 325 to 546 of the family's 1533-position model. The record is from RNAcentral. Lineage: Bacteria; Bacillati; Bacillota; Clostridia; Peptostreptococcales; Peptostreptococcaceae.